UGUACCCGACACUGGAGCGACCUGGC
This 26-nucleotide non-coding RNA is filed under the name Homo sapiens (human). Lineage: Eukaryota; Metazoa; Chordata; Mammalia; Primates; Hominidae. The record is from RNAcentral.